GAAAGGAGAGAAGUAAUGUGAAUUGCAGAAUUCAGUGAAUCAUCGAAUCUUUGAACGCACAUUGCGCCCGCCAGAAUUCUGGCGGGCAUGCCUGUUCGAGCGUCAUUUCAACCCUCGAGCUCCCCUUGCGGGGGGAGCCCGGCGUUGGGGACGCGGCGCCAACAGCGCCGGCCCCGAAAUGGAGUGGCGGCCCGUCCGCGGCGACCUCUGCGUAGUAACAUCCACUCGCACCGGGACCCGGGCGCGGCCACGCCGUAAAACACCCCACCUUCCGAAUGUUGACCUCGAAUCAGGUAGGAAUACCCGCUGAACUUAAGC
RNAcentral lists this unclassified non-coding RNA (318 nucleotides) under plant metagenome. RNAcentral describes it as "partial contains 5.8S ribosomal RNA, internal transcribed spacer 2, and large subunit ribosomal RNA". The stretch from base 1 to 105 matches the Rfam family "5.8S ribosomal RNA", at positions 50 to 154 of the family's 154-position model. The record is from RNAcentral.